UUUGACCUCAAAUCAGGUAGGACUACCCGCUGAACUUAAGCAUAUCACUAAGCGGAGGAGUCAUA
RNAcentral lists this ribosomal RNA (65 nucleotides) under Amanita sp. 'M15'. Its description in RNAcentral is "Amanita sp. 'sp-M15' partial 28S ribosomal RNA". Lineage: Eukaryota; Fungi; Basidiomycota; Agaricomycetes; Agaricales; Amanitaceae. The record is from RNAcentral.